UGUGCACCGGUGGGGUCCCUCAGCCUGGCCUGCACCCUCUCUCAAUCCAGGACCCCUCGGGGGAUGUCAGAGAGCUGGUGUCAGCCUGCAGGCCAGGCUGAGGGACCCCACUGUUGCACA
RNAcentral lists this microRNA precursor (120 nucleotides) under Myotis davidii. RNAcentral describes it as "mir-9193 microRNA precursor family". It matches the Rfam family "mir-9193 microRNA precursor family". The record is from Rfam by way of RNAcentral. Lineage: Eukaryota; Metazoa; Chordata; Mammalia; Chiroptera; Vespertilionidae.